UGAGUCUCUCUCAAAAAAGCUUAAAGUCGCAUUUUCCUUUUCUCUCUUUAACUCAUUACAGCGGACAUGAAAGCGGCGCCCCCCAGGGACCCAAAGACCCGGUACCGGUUCUUUGGGUACCUGGUGGCCUACCUUUCCUCAAUCUACGGGCACAGGUCGGGGGUGCUGACCCGGAUGAGGGUCAGGGAGGUGCAGGACGCGAUCGGGGACGAGGACAAGGGCUACCUCAUUAAUGUAAGUAUGCUUUUACUCACCUCGGGUCCUUUUCUACAUUAAAAACAGGGGGGGCGGCUGUUGCACACUUGGGAAUUGGCUGACAUCUCUGCCUCCUGUCAUACUUUGUCUUCUGCAGGUCAUGGAGCACAAGACGGUGCGUAAAUUUGGGGUGGCCCAGGUGUACCUCGAGGCCGGCGAGUACGCCUGGUGCCGGGAGUGGCUCCGCCUGCGGCUGCGCUCCGUGCCACAAAACAAGUUUUUUUUUACGUCCUUCGGCAAGGGGGAGCCGAAGGACCUGAUUAAAUAUUUUCGACGAGCUUGGGGGGAGAUGGGCCUCCCCGGCUCCCCGAGUCUAAUGGACAUCAGGUCGGCCGUGGCCACAUACAACUUUGAGACCAACGACGCCGAGGUACGCAGGAGCCUAGGGGACUUCAUGUGCCACGACAUCAGGACCCAGGAGCGCUUCUACGCGCUCCAUAAGAACCUUUCAAGGGCGAAGCAGAUGAGGGACCUCUUCGUCCGCCUUGCGCAGCGAGAGCCCUCAUCUGCUUCCUCCUCCUCCGAUCCUGCUGCAGGCUCCUCCUCCUCCUCCGCUCCUGCUGCAGGCUCCUCCUCCUCCGCUCCUCACGCAGGCUGCUCCUCCUCCUCCUCUGCUCCUGCUGCAGGCUGCUCCUCCUCCUCCUCUGCUCCUGCUGCAGGCUCCUCCUCCUCCCCCGCUGCUCCUGGCUCCGUGAGGAGGAGGCUUCGGCCAUCUGCCACGCAGAGGAUGGCCCAGAGGGUGAAGGAGAAAAGGGGGAUUUCUCCAAAAAAGAGUUGCCGCGUGUUCAUCAAGAGACUGUGAACCCUUCCUGACCCCAGUUCACUUGCCUGUUCACUUGUAUAUACUGUAGUAGUUCAUUUGUUCAUCUUGUUUCAUGUUCAUGUUCAUGUUGUUGUUUCAUUUGUUCAUAUUUAUUUAUGUUCUGUUCUGUU
This 1188-nucleotide long non-coding RNA is filed under the name Gadus morhua (Atlantic cod). Its description in RNAcentral is "lncRNA (ENSGMOG00000026528.1)". Lineage: Eukaryota; Metazoa; Chordata; Actinopteri; Gadiformes; Gadidae. The record is from RNAcentral.